CUAUUUCUUGUAUCAUCUUGACCAAGAUUACAUGCACACAUAUAAUUUGCAACUAGCAUAAUAUCAUAUUAUGCUAGUUGCAAAUUAUAUGUGUGCAUGUAAUCUUGGUCAAGAUGAUACAAGAAAUAG
Non-coding RNA from Paramuricea clavata, 129 nucleotides. The record is from the annotation of a GenBank genome assembly. NCBI's taxonomy places the organism in Eukaryota, Metazoa, Cnidaria, Anthozoa, Malacalcyonacea, Plexauridae.